CCUCCGGAGAUUAUCUAUGAAGACUUUAGGAGUGUUUAAAGGUGUCCAGAAGUGCUCAUAUGGCUGUGCAAAGAUAGGGCCAAGUCCAGGAGGGACUUAGAUGAGUGUUUGGGAGCAAAUGGGCAAGUGUGCAUACUUAGGGCGAGGCAGUACGGAUGGUACGGACCUGUACGGAUCCGUACGGACCGAGACAACCCGAGGAUACACAACUUGGCCAUUUGAGAUGUUUUGAGGUGGUGCAAAGUCCGGGACAAGAUGUGCAAACUUAGGGCGUGAUCAGAACAUGUCCGGGAGACUUUGUGCAUACUUAGGGCUAAUAAAAAGAAGUCUGGUCGUGAAGCAUCAAAAGGAAAUCAAGAAGAUCCUUUGUGGAGGCAAGCGGCCAAUGAGAGCAAAGAUGGAGCUGAUUGGUUACUUUGGAGGAUGGACAGGCUGGCCUUGGCUGUAAAGCCAAAGGGGGGCACGACCAUGAACAUGGUCUGAAUGAAGGCUUGAUACAUGGGAGCCUAUAAGGAGCCAAUGGGAGAACAGCCUUUCCUUUGACCAGUUUGAAUCAGCCAAUCAGAUAUCAUCAGCCCUCAGCCAAUCACAAGACAUCACACAGAUUGCAAUACCAAGCUCUCAUCUACACCAUCCAUUCUCUCAAGUUAAUAUUAUCCAUUAGAUUUAGGUUUCAGAUUGUGCAAACCUAUUAAGCUUAUAAAUAAGCUUGUAAGAGGCGAUUUUGAGCCUUAAGGGAGUUUGGGGGAUUUCCCCUCUCCACUUCAUAAUGAAAUGUGUUCUUGAAUCAGAUUCCCUUUAAUCUCUCCCUUUCUUAGUCUUUAAUCUCUUAAUCUCUCAAAGUCUCUUGUUUCUGAUUUGAGUAAACACAUAAACACUCUUGUAAAACUCUCUCUCUAAAAUCACCUAAAACAAACUCUAAUCUUCUCAUCUUGCUCCAUUGGAGCUUAUACACACACACAACCUGAGCUCUGAAAAUCUCACAUGGUAUCAGAGCCAGGUUCAUCUGAAUCUGGUUGAAGCUUCCGCAAACCUCAGAGCUCAAUCCCAUGUCCAUUACAACCAAGAAGAAGCUGUCUGUUCAAUCCGGCUGUUCAACACCUCAAGAGGCAGGCGUGUUCAUCCUGGAGUCUAGAAGCUGUCUGGUGCUGUUCCUCUUCAUCCCAUGUCGCCCUUGAAAAAAGAAGAUCCAAGGAAACAAAGGCAAUGGAGUGGAUUAGCUACCCUCUCUAGCAAAGCCAGUUCCUGGUUCUUGCUAUUCAAAGUCCAAGAAGAAGUUUCUCAAGAAGAAAGCUUGCUGCUUGUACUGGUGUGGCGUGUACAACAUGGAGAAAGGUGGGAGCUAAGACAUGGUGGUUCAAAAGGAAAGGUCCAUGGAAGAUGGAGGCGUUGGAGUGCACACUAACAACUCAGAAUCUGUCCAAUGGAAUCAAGGAUCUAUACAAAGGUCCUUGGCUGUAAGAAAGUUCUUUCUUUUUGUAUAAAGCUUGAGUAUAUUGACAGGUUGUGUUGUGGUGUUGUGAUUGAACAACCUGAGGAUGUGUUAAGAUUGCUAAAUAAACAAUUGUUUAGAAUCUGUCCCAGGAUACUUAUUGAGUUGUGUUUGGUGACUGAGAGUUGUUGCUUGCAUACUGGUUCAUAAUGAUUGUCUUUUAGGAUGAUAGUAGUAAUGUCUAAACCUGAUUGCUUUCAUGAAAUGAAACCAAGUUUAAAUGUGAAGCAUUGAGUGUUGUUGCUGCCUUGUAUUGAUGCAUUGGAUUCAUGUCUAAGUUGCAGAUUAAGGAGCAUUAAAAUUGUCUAAGUAGCUUGUCUUGAAUCUUGAAGGGAUCUUGCUUGUGCUUAGAGAGUUUGCUUGCAAAGAUUAGAACUUGAAAAUGUCUAGUUUAAUCUGUUGCAUUGCUUAAAGACAUUGGUGUUCAAACUUGAUGAUGCAUCAAGGGUUGACCCAAUGCACUUGUGUCUAAUCUUUGCUGGAAUUUGAGUGAUGUUUCAGGUUCACAAGAGGUGUUCUUGGUUCACCAUCCAUCCGAGUUGAAAGAGGAAGACUGUGCCCAUUGUGUGGAGCAAUGGAGAGUUGAGAAAGAAGUGGUGAUGCGCCACUGGUGUGUAGUUUCACUGAAGCUCACUUGCAAGCUUGGACCUAUACUCAAUCCAAGCUUGAGGAGGGGAGUUUAGUGAGCUAUCAGUCGGACCAAGAAGGUUCAGAAGGUCCAUUGCAAGCAACUGAAGAAGAAGGAGCCAUCCGGGUCUAGGCAGUGGCGUGUCUAGGCAAGAGAGUGUUCAGAGCACUCUUGGCUGUGAGAAGAUGAAGACUCUAUCAGUGCGGCUUCUAGUGUGAGGUGACUGAAGAGGUAGCUGAAGCUUCCACAAGCACUCCAUGAAGAUGGCGAGUUCAGAAGGUGUUGCAAUGGAGUAAUGGUACAGAUCAUGAAGCUAUCCAUCCAAGCUUGUUCCUGUGAGAGUCUCAAGCUUGAGGGGGAGUGUUGAAGCUUACAUGAUCUGAGAGUACUUGGUGGUUAUUCAAGAAGAGGAGCAGAUCAGUUAUGAAGCAUAAUGAAGGAUAAAGAAGCAAUCACCAAUGCGGCCUCUAGAGUGAGGUGAUUGGUACUACAGUCUGAAACAUCCUGUCAUGAAGGUUUCAGUAACAUGGUGGUGACUCAUGAAGAAGAAGCAGCCAAGAAUCAGCUUGUAUCUAUCAAGGAAGAUCUGGUAGUCCGAGCACUUGAUCACACCAAGAAGGUUGUGAGAAAGGGGGAGAGACCAAGAUCUGUCUAAAGAAGAGUACAAGAAGUGUUGAUGAUGAGCAAGAGGAGUGGGUUCUAUCUUGCAUCAAAUGAGGGCCAUGAUCCAGAGUCUUUGUGUCCCUUACAUUGCUGGUAAGGCACAAAGACUCACUGGCCAAUCCCUAGGCCUUGGAGGCUUUACUCUUUUUCCCUCAUCAAGGUUUUGUCCCAAAGGGUUUUCCUUGGUGAGGUUUUUAAUGAGGAAGUUCUUCAAGGUUCCAAGCUUGACUUAGGAUCAGCUAGAGUCAAGCUUGAGGGGGAGUGUUGACUUGAAGAAAAGAAAUGGAGUGGUGAAGUGUUGAGUUGAGAUUGAGUCUUGAGCAAGAAUAGGGCAAGACCUCCGGAGAUUAUCUAUGAAGACUUUAGGAGUGUUUAAAGGUGUCCAGAAGUGCUCAUAUGGCUGUGCAAAGAUAGGGCCAAGUCCAGGAGGGACUUAGAUGAGUGUUUGGGAGCAAAUGGGCAAGUGUGCAUACUUAGGGCGAGGCAGUACGGAUGGUACGGACCUGUACGGAUCCGUACGGACCGAGACAACCCGAGGAUACACAACUUGGCCAUUUGAGAUGUUUUGAGGUGGUGCAAAGUCCGGGACAAGAUGUGCAAACUUAGGGCGUGAUCAGAACAUGUCCGGGAGACUUUGUGCAUACUUAGGGCUAAUAAAAAGAAGUCUAGUCGUGAAGCAUCAAAAGGAAAUCAAGAAGAUCCUUUGUGGAGGCAAGCGGCCAAUGAGAGCAAAGAUGGAGCUGAUUGGUUACUUUGGAGGAUGGACAGGCUGGCCUUGGCUGUAAAGCCAAAGGGGGGCACGACCAUGAACAUGGUCUGAAUGAAGGCUUGAUACAUGGGAGCCUAUAAGGAGCCAAUGGGAGAACAGCCUUUCCUUUGACCAGUUUGAAUCAGCCAAUCAGAUAUCAUCAGCCCUCAGCCAAUCACAAGACAUCACACAGAUUGCAAUACCAAGCUCUCAUCUACACCAUCCAUUCUCUCAAGUUAAUAUUAUCCAUUAGAUUUAGGUUUCAGAUUGUGCAAACCUAUUAAGCUUAUAAAUAAGCUUGUAAGAGGCGAUUUUGAGCCUUAAGGGAGUUUGGGGGAUUUCCCCUCUCCACUUCAUAAUGAAAUGUGUUCUUGAAUCAGAUUCCCUUUAAUCUCUCCCUUUCUUAGUCUUUAAUCUCUUAAUCUCUCAAAGUCUCUUGUUUCUGAUUUGAGUAAACACAUAAACACUCUUAUAAAACUCUCUCUCUAAAAUCACCUAAAACAAACUCUAAUCUUCUCAUCUUGCUCCAUUGGAGCUUAUACACACACACAACCUGAGAUCUCUGAAAAUCUCACA
RNAcentral lists this long non-coding RNA (4107 nucleotides) under Brassica napus (rape). RNAcentral's name for it is "long non-coding RNA (BNAP_LNC017697)". Lineage: Eukaryota; Viridiplantae; Streptophyta; Magnoliopsida; Brassicales; Brassicaceae. The record is from RNAcentral.